Mastomys coucha (southern multimammate mouse) is the source of this 64-nucleotide small nuclear RNA. RefSeq annotates it as U7 small nuclear RNA. The record is from RefSeq and is a predicted model, not a curated record. The transcript has a single exon. NCBI's taxonomy places the organism in Eukaryota, Metazoa, Chordata, Mammalia, Rodentia, Muridae.
GAGUGAACACAGCUCUUUUAGAAUGUUUUCUAGCAGCUUUUCUGACUUUUGUUGGGAAAACUUA